CGCAUAUUGAACACUGGACGCAGAGCACGCUGAAAGUUUAGAGGCUACUAAUUUCUUAGUUGUUUUUGAAUAAUCUAAAAUAAGUAACAAAAUUCUAUAUAUUUCGGAGAUUUUCUUUUUAUUUACCAUUGUUUAUGUGGUUGCUGCUGGUUGGUGGUGCCGUCGUCCGAUUGCUGUCCUGCUGCUUCCCGCUUGUUGAUGUCCUGGUGCUUCCCACUGAUUGCUGUCCUGCUGCUUUCCACUGGUUGCUGUCCUGCUGCUUCCCGGUGAUUGCCCUACUGUGCCAGCCUGUUGCCACUUCCUGAUAUCUGUCCUGCAGUUGCCGUCUGUUGACCUGCUGCUUCUCGCCUGUUGCCCGUCUGUUAUCCUGCUGUUCCCGAUUGCUGUCCUGCUACGCCCGUGCUGCUUCCCGUCAGACUGUGCUGCUGCCGUCUGCUGCUACUCAACCUAGUAAAAACUCGAGGCGAAAAUGAUGGCACUUCCGUGUGCGCCGUGCUUCUGCUACUUUUUUAUGGGUUUCGAUUGCGGGCUUUUGCUAUCGGAUUCGUCGGACCGAGGUUUGCGGUUCUUUGUUUGCUGGAGCGGAUGAGUCGUUCUGGGAGUUUGGUAUUAAUAUCAUGAUUGGUCAGCUUAGAGCGUUGAGGAUCGGCGGAGUGGAAGCGGCCCAAUUGUUUUAAUUAUUUAUUUCUAGACGACUAGAUGACCGUUCCCCAUAACUUGUGGUGUGAUACCCGGCGAACCAAGAUAGUAUGUUAGGCAGACGGUAAUAUCAACGCAAAUAGGCUGCGGUCAGAGGGUGCGUUGAUAUUACCAGAUUAUCAGAGUUUAAGUCCUUUUAUAUGGCUGGAACAGGAGUAUAAGUUACAAAAGAGAGUUCUCAUCAAAUUUGUAUAAACUUAGAAAAAUCGACUAAAGGAACUUUCUUUGUAACUUAUCUUCUUAUUCCUACAGUUUUGACAGCUCAAAAACAACCAAACAAUUAUAAAACAUUUUCGCAUUAGAAUCAAUAAACCUAUGCAUACAUAAUCUGAAGCUAUACUAUGUCUCAAAUAACUCAAAGUUAUACUAAGACAGUAUUGCUUGCACUUAAACGAAGACGGGGUCAACCAGGCGAAUAGCCAGUUAGAAUGAC
Molecule: long non-coding RNA, 1132 nt
Organism: Armigeres subalbatus
Lineage: Eukaryota; Metazoa; Arthropoda; Insecta; Diptera; Culicidae
Exons: 3
Source: RefSeq, a predicted model, not a curated record